CAGCCUCUGCCUCCCGGGUUCAAGCGAUUCUCCUGCUUCGGCCUCCUCUGAGUAGCUGGGAUUACAGGCAUGUGGCAUCACACCCAGCUAAUUUUUGUAUUUUUAGUAGAGAUGGGGUUUCACCAUGUUGGCCACGCUGGUCUUGAGCUCCUGACCUCGUGAUCUGCCCGCCUCAGCCUCCCACAGUGCUGGGAUUCCAGGCGUGAGCUGCUGCACCUGCCCAUGAUAACUUUCUCACCACCACCAACUUCAGUUUCCCUCACUGCUGUAAUAAUCAGCUCCCUGAGCUGGGCCUUGAGGUCCGAGUUCAUCUCCAGCUCCAGAAGAAUCUAAGAAGGCAAGAACAGCAGGGUCAACCCUCAGUGCAUGUAUGAGCACCCCCGGCCUCAUUUUUGUGUUUUCUAUAAAGAUGGGGUCUCGCUGUGUUGCCCAUGCUGGUCCUGAACUCCUUACCUCAAGUGAUCCUCCUGCCUCGGCCUCCUAAAGUGCUGGGAUUACAGCCAUCAGCCGCCGUGUCCGGCUUUAAAAAGCAAUCCUAAAAAUCGUAAACAAAAUGACAUAGAGGAACCUUAUUGCGCAUCGAGCCAUGCAAGAAAGGAGCCGUUUAUUUCCAGCAAGUUUAAAACAUCAAUUUGAUCUCCAGCCAUGGUCGAUGAGAUGUUAGAAAACCAACUCUCUUGCUGACAACAACGAGAAAAUCUUGAUACCAUUUAGCAAAAAGAAGUCUGUGGGGGAGGCGUUGGAGAGUGAUGGAGCUGCCAGGGCCUGAGGCACCCAGCUUCCGGAGCCUCUGGCAGCCCGGAGAAGUGACUCUGUCUUAAGAGGCACCACCCUCCCCGGUGCAUUUGCUGAUGGUUUCUGAGCAGAGCAGUCUCCUGGGGCUGGAGGGGCACAAGCUGGAAUGGGCGCCCCACCAUGGGGACCCCCAGACGCCAGACCUUCAACUGAGAUAGGAAUCUGGUGCUGGAUAUAGGCGUCUAUGGCACCCCAGCUGCAUGUCAACAGCAGCAGCAAGCCCUCCUUGAAGGGUGAAACGGCAUUCACAGUCUCCAGUUUUCUCUACAAUUUUCAUAAAUGUUGUCCGUGAUUCAACCAGACUUUCCAGCAGAGGCCGAGACCAGGUGACGGCAGACGAGAGGACGCCCCUCUGGCUGGAGCCUCCCCGCACAGACUCAGGUCCCUCUGCUACGCCAGGGUCUCGACUGGGCCGUAUCUGUGGGUUUCCCACGUUAACUUGUCUCAGGUUUCUCUUUCUUCUUUUGAGACAAGGUCUCACUCUAUUGUCCAGGCUGGAGCGCAGUGGCAUGGUCACAGCUCACUGCAGCCUCAGCCUCCCCAGUAGCCGGGACACACACCCAGCUAAUUUUUGUAUUGUUUGUAGAGGUGGGGUCUCACCAUUGCUCAGCCCUGUUCUUGAACCCCUGGGCUCAAGUGAUCGUCCUGCCUCAGCCUCCCAAAGUGCUGGGAUUACAGGUGUGAGCGGUGUUCCAUAGAUUUUUUUAAAAUCCUUCACGUAAAGUUUUUUGUUACAUUUCAGAAGGAAACAGAAAAGCAUAAACUCAAUGUGGGCAUCCCCCUCCCGGCCCACAGGGCCUCUUUCUCCGCAGUUCCCUGGGAACCAUCUCCUUCACACUCACCGUUUCACAGGAGCGUUCACAGAAUCAGGAAGGUUUCUGUGGCUCACCUGCCCAUGGCUGGGGCUCAGUCUCUGGGGGACGCAUCUCAUGUAGAGUGAAAGGCGGCACCUUUGCCAUGGGGACGGGACUUAUUCGCAGACAUGGACUUUGAUUUGCUUUAUCUCACAAUGUGAAGAAACUGACAAGUAUUGUUUUUGAAUUGAAGGAAGCAUCCGUUCCUUUCAUAAGAGGGGAUGGAAACAGCCUGGCCCUCGGGAGGGAGCGUCCGCCCGGCGGGUCAGCCACUCACAGGGGCUGUCCUCUCGCCAGGGCUGCUGGUCAACCUCUCCCUCAUCCCAGUCAUGGGCGGGCUGGCGCUGUGCACGGCCACUGAGAUCAGCUUCAACGUCCUGGGGUUCUCGGCCGCACUGUCCACCAACAUCAUGGACUGUUUGCAAAAUGUUUUUUCAAAAAAAGCUGCUCAGCGGGGACAAAUACAGGUUCUCGUAAGUAUUAUUCGUCAGUGAAAUCUCCAAGUCAUAAGACGAAGAGGACUUCCUGCCCACUGUAAGAGUCAGAACACCCCACAGGCCUGACUCCCUUCCUGUCUGGCCUGGGUGGCCUUUACAAGUACCCUGUCUAAGCUCGGGAGAGACCCGCCUGUUUCUCAGCUACUCCCUUGAGCCCCUCAGCCAGCCUGGUGUGCGUUUGCGUUUUCAUUUCUGGGAAGCUGCAGCGGCCCCAGUCCUGCCUAGAGAGAAUGAACGUCUUCUGGGCUGGGGUGCCUGGGUGUUCUUGCUGUGAGGGAGCUGCGUGUGAACUCGGCCUGUCCCGACACGGGGGGCCCAGCGUGUUCUGUCACCCACAGGGCCCCGGAGCUGCAGUUCUAUACCAGCGCCGCUGCGGUGGCCAUGCUCGUCCCGGCCCGG
Molecule: long non-coding RNA, 2545 nt
Filed under: Pan troglodytes (chimpanzee)
Lineage: Eukaryota; Metazoa; Chordata; Mammalia; Primates; Hominidae
Description: long non-coding RNA NONPTRT000801
Source: RNAcentral